GCACUCAUGCAAAGUCAGGGACACACAUUCACAGCGGUUUCCUGCGGGGAAACCAAACCACAGAUAAUCUUUUCUGUCACACUCUGCUCUCAACAUCUCUCCCCCUUUACUCUAUCUACUGUUAUCAUCUCCGCUGCUUCUUUUUCCUCCCCUCGUUUUCUCUCCACCGCUCAAAGGAGACAGCAUCUCAAUAUUCCCCUCAUGUCCCUGCUCCUCCUUCUAAAAAUACUCUCCCCAAAUCAAAUCCAUCAACUUGCCCUCACGCUCCUCCUCCUCUUCUCCGCUCUUGUGUCAGUCAAACCCCCGUAAACUCGACCUCCUGUCAAGCUCUCUCUCCUCCUCCUCUUCUUCUUCUUCUUUUCCACUUUAUGCACGCACUCCCUCACUUCGCUCCCCCGUCAGAAAAAGGCUUCUUUUUUGCGCUUUCUUCCCUCAUGUCCUUGUCAGCUGCAUUCCAGUUUGCUCCCUGCUCCAAAUGACUUCUCCCCCUUCAGGGAUCUCUCGCCGCUUUUCUCCCCCUCCUUUCCACUCUCGCAGUCUCUCGCGUUUGACUCCUCUGUUUCGCUCCGGUUUUCAGGUGGCUCGUCCUCCCAUCGCACCUCCUAUACUGCUCCUCCUCCUCCUCCUCCUGCGCCACAGCUCUGUCCGCGCAGCCGGUGAGCCCGUCACUGAUGAGAGCGCCUGUCUCACUCUGCGCUAACUCGCGAGCUGUCCUUCGCCCCCCUCUGUUUGUCUGCUGCUGCUGCUGCUGAGCCGCGCGGCUUCGGUACAAUGAGAGACUGCUGCGCGCGCCAAUGUGAAGGUUCUGUGUGGAGCUGCGGGAGACAGCCAGACAGGGCUCCCUCCUCACUGCACUCCUCCAGCUGUACGGUCUGGGCUUUUUGACACUCUGAGCUUGGAUUUACGUGCAUGUUACAUAAACAUUAAAACAACAUUUAUGGGACUGUAAUCUGAUUAACGAUCUCCCAAAGCUUCCUUUCUGUUCUCACUGUGGCUGUCAUAAAAAACCCCUCCAUAAAUUAGAUUUAUUGAGGUCUGAGUCCUGAGUUUAGAAAUGAAGCUCAAAAUUAAGUUUACCUUAGAUUAUUGCCACUUUUUAAAUUUUAUUUCCUUUAAAAAAGUAUUUGGCCACCUUUUUUCAACACUGAUUUAUUUAUGAUUAUUUGUGCCAGUUGUCUUUAGAGCAGUAUAAGACUAGUUUCUGACUUGGUGUCAUUUUUUCAUGGCUGAGGAAAGGGACAGAACAUUACUACAUUUUAAAACCUAUCACUGCAUAAACUCAUACCACACUUGUGUUUGAAAAGGUUGGCACUAAAUAUGGAUGUUUUUUUUUUUUUUAAUGGAUUUAAAUAUUUUGUCUUUCUUAUUUCAGGCCAAAUUAAAAAUGCUCAGGAGUUUAUUUCUGUACUUAAAACCAUUUAUUGACCUUGAAAUAUUCCCGGUUGGCUGUAGCUCAACUGCCAAAAACUGUUGACCGAAACAGUCUCUCUAUUUGUCACUUGACUGGGCCCAAGGCCGAGCUAUAUUAAGUGAUUUUGUUUUACAGCUACUGAAAUGUUCUGAGGGUAAUUUAUAAAUAGGUCCAGUUGAAGAGGCACCUCGCUAAUGAAACAUAUCUUAAUAAAUCUUGAUAAAUCUGAUGUUUUUGAUAUGUGCAUAUGUACAAAUUGCGUUGUGGGAGACAUAAAGGGUUUAUAAGUCUAAGUCUUACAGUAUGGCUCAGAUAAAAUGUCAGUUAUUUGAUGGAUUCUGAAAAGGUUUUUGUGCAAGAGGGGGGGACAACCACACUGGCCCGCCAGCUGGUUCUUAUUAUGGAUGGAGCACCUCCACAUGUUGAGAGAAGUGAAGACAAAUAUGGCAAAUACUGUGUUUUAGAAGUGGCAUCGAACCAAAGCAUGCCUAGGAGGAAUCUGGUUUCGGGACCUGCGUGACUUAUACAAGACGCUCUGUUUGUCCUGCAGAGUUCAGAACUGAUCAUGGCCCCAUUAGCUGCUCCUGACAGGUCAGAUGAAAUUCUGGCAUGUCUGAAAAUUUGGUCAGUUGAUCCUCUAACACAGCGGGAACAGAGCUGACUGCACCUGCGUAAAUCAUCAC
RNAcentral lists this long non-coding RNA (2094 nucleotides) under Xyrichtys novacula (pearly razorfish). Lineage: Eukaryota; Metazoa; Chordata; Actinopteri; Labriformes; Labridae. The record is from RNAcentral.